UAAGAUCGGGAUAACUCCGGGAAACCGGGGCUAAUACCGGGUAAUACUUUCUUUCGCAUGAAGGAAAGUUGAAAGAUGGCUUCUCGCUAUCACUUACAGAUGGGCCCGCGGCGCAUUAGCUAGUUGGUGAGGUAACGGCUCACCAAGGCGACGAUGCGUAGCCGACCUGAGAGGGUGAUCGGCCACACUGGGACUGAGACACGGCCCAGACUCCUACGGGAGGCAGCAGUAGGGAAUCUUCCGCAAUGGACGAAAGUCUGACGGAGCAACGCCGCGUGAACGAUGAAGGUCUUCGGAUCGUAAAGUUCUGUUGUUAGGGAAGAACAAGUACCGUGCGAAUAGAGCGGUACCUUGACGGUACCUAACGAGGAAGCCCCGGCUAACUACGUGCCAGCAGCCGCGGUAAUACGUAGGGGGCAAGCGUUGUCCGGAAUUAUUGGGCGUAAAGCGCGCGCAGGCGGUUCCUUAAGUCUGAUGUGAAAGCCCACGGCUCAACCGUGGAGGGUCAUUGGAAACUGGGGAACUUGAGGACAGAAGAGGAGAGUGGAAUUCCACGUGUAGCGGUGAAAUGCGUAGAUAUGUGGAGGAACACCAGUGGCGAAGGCGACUCUCUGGUCUGUUUCUGACGCUGAGGUGCGAAAGCGUGGGUAGCAAACAGGAUUAGAUACCCUGGUAGUCCACGCCGUAAACGAUGAGUGCUAGGUGUUAGGGGGCUUCCACCCCUUAGUGCUGAAGUUAACGCAUUAAGCACUCCGCCUGGGGAGUACGGCCGCAAGGCUGAAACUCAAAGGAAUUGACGGGGGCCCGCACAAGCGGUGGAGCAUGUGGUUUAAUUCCAAGCAACGCGAAGAACCUUACCAGGUCUUGACAUCCUUGGACCUCCCUAAAGAUAGGGAUUUCCCUUCCGGGACCAAAUAACAGUGGUGGUUGGUUUUCUCACCUCCUUCCUGGAAAGUUGGUUUUAUUCCUCCACCGCCCCCCCCCCCUACUUUAUUUCCCCCUUCAAUUUGUACCCCUAGGGGCUGC
Molecule: ribosomal RNA, 1026 nt
Filed under: Halobacillus sp.
Lineage: Bacteria; Bacillati; Bacillota; Bacilli; Caryophanales; Bacillaceae
Description: bacterial SSU rRNA
Rfam family: Bacterial small subunit ribosomal RNA
Source: RNAcentral